Molecule: non-coding RNA, 124 nt
Organism: Triticum aestivum (bread wheat)
Lineage: Eukaryota; Viridiplantae; Streptophyta; Magnoliopsida; Poales; Poaceae
Source: Rfam
AUGGUACUCCCUCCGUCUGGAAAUACUUGUCCUGAAAAUGGAGAAAAUGGAUGCAUCUAUAACUAAAAUAAAUAUAGAUACAUCCAUUUCUAGGACAAGUAUUUUUGGACGAAGGGAGUACUAA